AGUGAACGCUGGCGGUAGGCCUAACACAUGCAAGUCGAACGGCAGCACAGUAAGAGCUUGCUCUUACGGGUGGCGAGUGGCGGACGGGUGAGGAAUACAUCGGAAUCUACUUUUUCGUGGGGGAUAACGUAGGGAAACUUACGCUAAUACCGCAUACGACCUACGGGUGAAAGCAGGGGAUCUUCGGACCUUGCGCGAUUGAAUGAGCCGAUGUCGGAUUAGCUAGUUGGCGGGGUAAAGGCCCACCAAGGCGACGAUCCGUAGCUGGUCUGAGAGGAUGAUCAGCGACACUGGAACUGGGACACGGUCCAGACUCCUACGGGAGGCAGCAGUGGGGAAUAUUGGACAAAGGGCGCAAGCCUGAUCCAGCCAUACCGCGUGGGUGAAGAAGGCCUUCGGGUUGUAAAGCCCUUUUGUUGGGAAAGAAAAGCAGCAGGUUAAUACCCCGCUGUUCCGACGGUACCCAAAGAAUAAGCACCGGCUAACUUCGUG
Molecule: ribosomal RNA, 492 nt
Filed under: uncultured bacterium
Lineage: Bacteria
Description: partial 16S ribosomal RNA
Rfam family: Bacterial small subunit ribosomal RNA
Source: RNAcentral